CGGACCGGCGCACGGGUGAGUAACACGUAUGCAACCUGGCCGCCACAGGGGGAUAACCCGCGGAAACGCGGCCUAAUACCCCGUGACGCCACCGGAGGGCAUCCUCCGGUGGCCAAAGGAGCGAUCCGGUGGCGGAUGGGCAUGCGGCGCAUUAGCUAGACGGCGGGGUGACGGCUCACCGUGGCGACGAUGCGUAGGGGUUCUGAGAGGAUGGCCCCCCACACUGGGACUGAGACACGGCCCAGACUCCUACGGAAGGCAGCAG
This 265-nucleotide ribosomal RNA is filed under the name uncultured bacterium. RNAcentral's name for it is "partial 16S ribosomal RNA". It matches the Rfam family "Bacterial small subunit ribosomal RNA", at positions 91 to 354 of the family's 1533-position model. The record is from RNAcentral.